Molecule: ribosomal RNA, 1542 nt
Filed under: uncultured prokaryote
Description: partial 16S ribosomal RNA
Rfam family: Bacterial small subunit ribosomal RNA
Source: RNAcentral
UUUGUUUGGAGAGUUUGAUCCUGGCUCAGGACGAACGCUGGCGGCGUGCUUAACACAUGCAAGUCGAACGGAAGGUGCCCCUUCGGGGGUGACUCGAGUGGCGAACGGGUGAGUAACACGUGGGUGAUCUGCCCUGCACUUUGGGAUAAGCCUGGGAAACUGGGUCUAAUACCGGAUAGGACCAUGGACUUCACGGUUUGUGGUGGAAAGCAAGCUUUUGCGGUGUGGGAUGGGCCCGCGGCCUAUCAGCUUGUUGGUGGGGUGAUGGCCUACCAAGGCGACGACGGGUAGCCGGCCUGAGAGGGUGUCCGGCCACACUGGGACUGAGAUACGGCCCAGACUCCUACGGGAGGCAGCAGUGGGGAAUAUUGCACAAUGGGCGCAAGCCUGAUGCAGCGACGCCGCGUGGGGGAUGACGGCCUUCGGGUUGUAAACCUCUUUCACCAUCGACGAAGCCGCAGCUUGUGUUGUGGUGACGGUAGGUCGAGAAGAAGCACCGGCCAACUACGUGCCAGCAGCCGCGGUAAUACGUAGGGUGCGAGCGUUGUCCGGAAUUAUUGGGCGUAAAGAGCUCGUAGGCGGUGUGUCGCGUCGGCCGUGAAAACUCACAGCUUAACUGUGGGCGUGCGGGCGAUACGGGCAGACUAGAGUUCGGCAGGGGAGACUGGAAUUCCUGGUGUAGCGGUGAAAUGCGCAGAUAUCAGGAGGAACACCGGUGGCGAAGGCGGGUCUCUGGGCCGAUACUGACGCUGAGGAGCGAAAGCAUGGGUAGCGAACAGGAUUAGAUACCCUGGUAGUCCACGCCGUAAACGGUGGGUACUAGGUGUGGGUUUCCUUCCUUGGGAUCCGUGCCGUAGCUAACGCAUUAAGUACCCCGCCUGGGGAGUACGGCCGCAAGGCUAAAACUCAAAGAAAUUGACGGGGGCCCGCACAAGCGGCGGAGCAUGUGGAUUAAUUCGAUGCAACGCGAAGAACCUUACCUGGGUUUGACAUGCACAGGACGAGUCUAGAGAUAGGCUUUCCCUUGUGGCCUGUGUGCAGGUGGUGCAUGGCUGUCGUCAGCUCGUGUCGUGAGAUGUUGGGUUAAGUCCCGCAACGAGCGCAACCCUUGUCUCAUGUUGCCAGCACGUAAUGGUGGGGACUCGUGAGAGACUGCCGGGGUCAACUCGGAGGAAGGUGGGGAUGACGUCAAGUCAUCAUGCCCCUUAUGUCCAGGGCUUCACACAUGCUACAAUGGCCGGUACAAAGGGCUGCGAUGCCGUGAGGUGGAGCGAAUCCUUGUUAAAGCCGGUCUCAGUUCGGAUCGGGGUCUGCAACUCGACCCCGUGAAGUCGGAGUCGCUAGUAAUCGCAGAUCAGCAACGCUGCGGUGAAUACGUUCCCGGGCCUUGUACACACCGCCCGUCACGUCAUGAAAGUCGGUAACACCCGAAGCCCAUGGCCCAACCCGCAAGGGAGGGAGUGGUCGAAGGUGGGAUCGGCGAUUGGGACGAAGUCGUAACAAGGUAGCCGUACCGGAAGGUGCGGCUGGAUCACCUCCUUU